This 253-nucleotide ribosomal RNA is filed under the name uncultured bacterium. RNAcentral describes it as "partial 16S ribosomal RNA". It matches the Rfam family "Bacterial small subunit ribosomal RNA", at positions 524 to 776 of the family's 1533-position model. The record is from RNAcentral.
UACGGAGGAUGCAAGCGUUAUCCGGAAUCAUUGGGCGUAAAGCGUCCGCAGGUGGCAGUUCAAGUCUGCUGUCAAAGACUGGGGCUUAACCCUAGAAAGGCAGUGGAAACUGAACAGCUAGAGUGCGGUAGGGGUAGAGGGAAUUCCCGGUGUAGCGGUGAAAUGCGUAGAGAUCGGGAAGAACACCAGUGGCGAAAGCGCUCUGCUGGACCUGCACUGACACUCAGGGACGAAAGCUAGGGGAGCGAAUGGG